GUAAGCCAAUCAUCUGUCUGACUGACAGUCUCAUCGUAGAGGUAAACCAAUCAUCUGGCUGACAGGAUCAUCGUAGAGGUAAGCCAAUCAUCUGUCUGACUGACAGGCUCAUCGUAGAGGUAAACCAAUCAUCUGACUGACAAGAUCAUCGUAGAGGUAAACCAAUCAUCUGACUGACAGGAUCAUCGUAGAGGUAAACCAAUCAUCUGACUGACAGGAUCAUCGUAGAGGUAAACCAAUCAUCCAUGUGAUUUCCCGGAGUGCCUGCAUUCUGAAAUAUUGAACGCUGUUUAAAAUUGCAAAGUCUAUUUCGGCACAUUCCUCGCAGUGAGACAUUAAGAUAUUAAUGAACAUGAUUAAUGUAUCGUAAUGGAGAGAG
This 379-nucleotide long non-coding RNA is filed under the name Salmo salar (Atlantic salmon). Its description in RNAcentral is "lncRNA (ENSSSAG00000086515.1)". Lineage: Eukaryota; Metazoa; Chordata; Actinopteri; Salmoniformes; Salmonidae. The record is from RNAcentral.